CUGGGGCUCCCAUGAUGUCCAGCACUGGGCUCUGAUCACCCCUGAGGACACAGUGCACCCCAGGACCUUUGACACCUGGGGGUCUGAGGGGCCCCAG
Molecule: small nucleolar RNA, 97 nt
Filed under: Homo sapiens (human)
Lineage: Eukaryota; Metazoa; Chordata; Mammalia; Primates; Hominidae
Source: RNAcentral